CCUACGGGUGGCUGCAGUGGGGAAUUUUCCGCAAUGGGCGAAAGCCUGACGGAGCAAGACCGCGUGAGGGAGGAAGGCUCUUGGGUUGUAAACCUCUUUUGUCAGGGAAGAACACAAUGACGGUACCUGACGAAUCAGCCUCGGCUAACUCCGUGCCAGCAGCCGCGGUAAUACGGAGGAGGCAAGCGUUAUCCGGAAUCAUUGGGCGUAAAGCGUCCGCAGGUGGCUAUUCAAGUCUGCUGUCAAAGCACGGGGCUUAACCCUGUCAAGGCGGU
RNAcentral lists this ribosomal RNA (275 nucleotides) under uncultured bacterium. RNAcentral describes it as "partial 16S ribosomal RNA". It matches the Rfam family "Bacterial small subunit ribosomal RNA", at positions 338 to 627 of the family's 1533-position model. The record is from RNAcentral.